AGUGAACGCUGGCGGUAGGCCUAACACAUGCCAGUCGAACGGCGGCACAGUAAGAGCUUGCUCUUACGGGUGGCGAGUGGCGGACGGGUGAGGAAUACAUCGGAAUCUACUUUUUCGUGGGGGAUAACGUAGGGAAACUUACGCUAAUACCGCAUACGACCUACGGGUGAAAGCAGGGGAUCUUCGGACCUUUCGCGAUUGAAUGAGCCGAUGUCGGAUUAGCUAGUUGGCUGGGUAAAGGCCCACCAAGGCGACGAUCCGUAGCUGGUCUGAGAGGAUGAUCAGCCAAACUGGAACUGAGACACGGUCCAGACUCCUACGGGAGGCAGCAGUGGGGAAUAUUGGACAAUGGGCGCAAGCCUGAUCCAGCAAUACCGCGUGGGUGAAGAAGGCCUUCGGGUUGUAAAGCCCUUUUGUUGGGAAAGAAAAGCAGCAGGUUAAUACCCCGCUGUUCUGACGGUACCCAAAGAAUAAGCACCGGCUAACUUCGUG
Molecule: ribosomal RNA, 492 nt
Filed under: uncultured bacterium
Lineage: Bacteria
Description: partial 16S ribosomal RNA
Rfam family: Bacterial small subunit ribosomal RNA
Source: RNAcentral